Molecule: ribosomal RNA, 1444 nt
Filed under: uncultured organism
Description: SSU rRNA
Rfam family: Bacterial small subunit ribosomal RNA
Source: RNAcentral
AUGAACGCUAGCUACAGGCUUAACACAUGCAAGUCGAGGGGCAUCAGGAAGAAAGCUUGCUUUCUUUGCUGGCGACCGGCGCACGGGUGAGUAACACGUAUCCAACCUGCCCUUUACUCGGGGAUAGCCUUUCGAAAGAAAGAUUAAUACCCGAUAGUAUAAUGAUUCCGCAUGGUUUCAUUAUUAAAGGAUUCCGGUAAAGGAUGGGGAUGCGUUCCAUUAGGUUGUUGGUGAGGUAACGGCCCACCAAGCCUUCGAUGGAUAGGGGUUCUGAGAGGAAGGUCCCCCACAUUGGAACUGAGACACGGUCCAAACUCCUACGGGAGGCAGCAGUGAGGAAUAUUGGUCAAUGGGCGCUAGCCUGAACCAGCCAAGUAGCGUGAAGGAUGAAGGCUCUAUGGGUCGUAAACUUCUUUUAUAUAAGAAUAAAGUGCAGUAUGUAUACUGUUUUGUAUGUAUUAUAUGAAUAAGGAUCGGCUAACUCCGUGCCAGCAGCCGCGGUAAUACGGAGGAUCCGAGCGUUAUCCGGAUUUAUUGGGUUUAAAGGGAGCGUAGGUGGACUGGUAAGUCAGUUGUGAAAGUUUGCGGCUCAACCGUAAAAUUGCAGUUGAUACUGUCAGUCUUGAGUACAGUAGAGGUGGGCGGAAUUCGUGGUGUAGCGGUGAAAUGCUUAGAUAUCACGAAGAACUCCGAUUGCGAAGGCAGCUCACUGGACUGCAACUGACACUGGUGCUCGAAAGUGUGGGUAUCAAACAGGAUUAGAUACCCUGGUAGUCCACACAGUAAACGAUGAAUACUCGCUGUUUGCGAUAUACAGUAAGCGGCCAAGCGAAAGCAUUAAGUAUUCCACCUGGGGAGUACGCCGGCAACGGUGAAACUCAAAGGAAUUGACGGGGGCCCGCACAAGCGGAGGAACAUGUGGUUUAAUUCGAUGAUACGCGAGGAACCUUACCCGGGCUUAAAUUGCAGUGGAAUGAUGUGGAAACAUGUCAGUGAGCAAUCACCGCUGUGAAGGUGCUGCAUGGUUGUCGUCAGCUCGUGCCGUGAGGUGUCGGCUUAAGUGCCAUAACGAGCGCAACCCUUAUCUUUAGUUACUAACAGGUUAUGCUGAGGACUCUAGAGAGACUGCCGUCGUAAGAUGUGAGGAAGGUGGGGAUGACGUCAAAUCAGCACGGCCCUUACGUCCGGGGCUACACACGUGUUACAAUGGGGGGUACAGAAGGCAGCUAGCGGGUGACCGUAUGCUAAUCCCAAAAGCCUCUCUCAGUUCGGAUCGAAGUCUGCAACCCGACUUCGUGAAGCUGGAUUCGCUAGUAAUCGCGCAUCAGCCACGGCGCGGUGAAUACGUUCCCGGGCCUUGUACACACCGCCCGUCAAGCCAUGGGAGCCGGGGGUACCUGAAGUACGUAACCGCAAGGAUCGUCCUAGGGUAAAACUGGUGACU